UGCACCUUAGGUAUCAGGAGACCUACAGUG
Molecule: non-coding RNA, 30 nt
Filed under: Homo sapiens (human)
Lineage: Eukaryota; Metazoa; Chordata; Mammalia; Primates; Hominidae
Source: RNAcentral